This 250-nucleotide ribosomal RNA is filed under the name uncultured prokaryote. RNAcentral's name for it is "partial 16S ribosomal RNA". It matches the Rfam family "Bacterial small subunit ribosomal RNA", at positions 524 to 774 of the family's 1533-position model. The record is from RNAcentral.
UACGUAGGGGGCGAGCGUUAUCCGGGAUUAUUGGGCGUAAAGAGUACGUAGGUGGUUUACUAAGCGCAAGGUGAAAGCCCGGGGCUUAACUCCUGCGAGCCUUGUGAACUGGCAGACUUGAGUGCAUGAGGGGAAAGUGGAAUUCCUAGUGUAGCGGUGAAAUGCGUAGAUAUUAGGAGGAACACCAGUGGCGAAGGCGACUUUCUGGACUGUAACUGACACUGAGGUACGAAAGCGUGGGGAGCAAACA